CGCUAACACUCCGUACGGGAGGCAGCAGUAGGGAAUCUUCCACAAUGGAACGAAGUCUGAUGGAGCAACGCCGCGUGAACGAUGAAGGCUUUCGGGUCGUAAAGUUCUGUUGUAAGGGAAGAACAAGUGCCGCAGGCAAUGGCGGCACCUUGACGGUACCUUGCGAGAAAGCCACGGCUAACUACGUGCCAGCAGCCGCGGUAAUACGUAGGUGGCAAGCGUUGUCCGGAAUUAUUGGGCGUAAAGCGCGCGCAGGCGGCCUCUUAAGUCUGAUGUGAAAGCCCCCGGCUCAACCGGGAGGGCCAUUGGAAACUGGGAGGCUUGAGUAUAGGAGAGAAGAGUGGAAUUCCACGUGUAGCGGUGAAAUGCGUAGAGAUGUGGAGGAACACCAGUGGCGAAGGCGACUCUUUGGCCUAUAACUGACGCUGAGGCGCGAAAGCGUGGGGAGCAAACAGGAUUAGAUACCCUGGUAG
Molecule: ribosomal RNA, 473 nt
Filed under: uncultured bacterium
Lineage: Bacteria
Description: bacterial SSU rRNA
Rfam family: Bacterial small subunit ribosomal RNA
Source: RNAcentral